GACGAACGCUGGCGGCGUGCUUAACACAUGCAAGUCGAACGGAAAGGCCCUGCUUUUGUGGGGUGCUCGAGUGGCGAACGGGUGAGUAACACGUGAGUAACCUGCCCUUGACUUUGGGAUAACUUCAGGAAACUGGGGCUAAUACCGGAUAGGAGCUCCUGCUGCAUGGUGGGGGUUGGAAAGUUUCGGCGGUUGGGGAUGGACUCGCGGCUUAUCAGCUUGUUGGUGGGGUAGUGGCUUACCAAGGCUUUGACGGGUAGCCGGCCUGAGAGGGUGACCGGCGACAUGGGUCCUAAGCUGCGCCCCGGACCCCACGGGGGGGCAGCGGGGGGGAAUCUGGCAUAGGGGGCGGGGGCCGGAGACGAAGGCCCCGGGUGGGGAAGGGCGCCUUUCGGGUUGAAAACCGUUUGCCCCUGAGAAGAGGGGGGAGUGAGGGUAGUGAAUAAAAAAGCCCGGGCAAACUAGGUG
RNAcentral lists this ribosomal RNA (468 nucleotides) under uncultured bacterium. RNAcentral describes it as "partial 16S ribosomal RNA". It matches the Rfam family "Bacterial small subunit ribosomal RNA", at positions 28 to 507 of the family's 1533-position model. The record is from RNAcentral.